Molecule: ribosomal RNA, 497 nt
Filed under: uncultured bacterium
Lineage: Bacteria
Description: partial 16S ribosomal RNA
Rfam family: Bacterial small subunit ribosomal RNA
Source: RNAcentral
GAUGAACGCUGGCGGCGUGCCUAAUACAUGCAAGUCGAGCGAACGGACGAGAAGCUUGCUUCUCUGUUGUUAGCGGCGGACGGGUGAGUCACACGUGGAUAACCUACCUAUCAGACUGGGAUAACUUCGGGAAACCGGCGCUAAUCCCGGAUAAUAUUUUGAACCGCAUGGUUCAAAAGUGAAAGACGGUCUUGCUGUAACUUCUAGCUGGAUCCGCGCUGCAUUAGCUAGUUGGUAAGGUAACGGCCUAUCACGGCAACGAUGCAUAGCCGACCUGAGAGGGGGAUCGGCCACACGGGAACUGAGACAGGGUCCAUGGGCCUACGGUAGGGAGCAGUAGGGAAUCUGCCGCAAUGGGCGAAAGCCUUACGGAGCGACGCCGCGUGAGUGGUGAAGGUGUUCGGAGCGGGAAGCUCUGUUAUGAGGUAAGAACAUAUGUGGAAGGAGCUGUGCACAGCGUGACGGUACCGGGUCAGAAAGCCACGGCUAACUACGUG